RNAcentral lists this ribosomal RNA (411 nucleotides) under Staphylococcus epidermidis NIHLM049. Its description in RNAcentral is "bacterial SSU rRNA". It matches the Rfam family "Bacterial small subunit ribosomal RNA", at positions 1 to 400 of the family's 1533-position model. The record is from RNAcentral. Lineage: Bacteria; Bacillati; Bacillota; Bacilli; Caryophanales; Staphylococcaceae.
UUUUUAUGGAGAGUUUGAUCCUGGCUCAGGAUGAACGCUGGCGGCGUGCCUAAUACAUGCAAGUCGAGCGAACAGACGAGGAGCUUGCUCCUCUGACGUUAGCGGCGGACGGGUGAGUAACACGUGGAUAACCUACCUAUAAGACUGGGAUAACUUCGGGAAACCGGAGCUAAUACCGGAUAAUAUAUUGAACCGCAUGGUUCAAUAGUGAAAGACGGUUUUGCUGUCACUUAUAGAUGGAUCCGCGCCGCAUUAGCUAGUUGGUAAGGUAACGGCUUACCAAGGCAACGAUGCGUAGCCGACCUGAGAGGGUGAUCGGCCACACUGGAACUGAGACACGGUCCAGACUCCUACGGGAGGCAGCAGUAGGGAAUCUUCCGCAAUGGGCAAAGCCUGACGGAGCAACGCCGG